UAGGCGUGCCAGCUCUGCAGG
RNAcentral lists this unclassified non-coding RNA (21 nucleotides) under Chlamydomonas reinhardtii. RNAcentral's name for it is "small RNA Cre_2324". Lineage: Eukaryota; Viridiplantae; Chlorophyta; Chlorophyceae; Chlamydomonadales; Chlamydomonadaceae. The record is from RNAcentral.